Non-coding RNA from Podarcis lilfordi (Lilford's wall lizard), 73 nucleotides. The record is from the annotation of a GenBank genome assembly. NCBI's taxonomy places the organism in Eukaryota, Metazoa, Chordata, Lepidosauria, Squamata, Lacertidae.
ACACGGACAGCUCAGUUGGUAGAGCAUGAGACUCUGAAUCUCAAGGUUGUGGGUUCAAUCCCCACGUUGGGCA